Molecule: non-coding RNA, 2610 nt
Organism: Candidatus Harrisonbacteria bacterium
Lineage: Bacteria; Candidatus Harrisoniibacteriota
Source: Rfam
GGGGAUAAAAAUAAGGGCGUACGGUGGAUGCCUUGGCACUAAAUGGCGAUGAAGGACGUGGCGUGGCUGCGAAAAGCUUCGGGGAGGUGCUUAGCAACCUUUGAUCCGGAGAUGUCCGAAUGGGGUAACCCAAUCGCGUAAACCGCGAUUACCUAUCCGUAAGGAUGGGUGCGUAUCUGCUGAAGUGAAACAUCUCAGUAAGCAGAAGAAAAGAAAAUAACAAUGAUUCCCUAAGUAGCGGCGAGCGAAACGGGAAGACUCAUAAGAGUCAAGCCUAAACCCAAUGAAAUAAUUUUAGCGGUGGGGUGUCGUGAGUUAGCUUUAAAACUAGCUCACAGCUUCAUUUAGCUAUUAUUAAAUUAUCGGGGGUCGUAAGAUAGAAAUUUUUUAAUUCUAAAAUUGUUUUGUCGAUAGUGGCAAAAUGAUUUUAGAGUUAAAGGAAAGUCAAAAAAUUGCAUGCCCUGUAUUUCACAAAUAUCACCAAUGUAGCGAAUCUAAUUUUGAGAAAGAUUCGCGACGCGAGGAGCGCAGUGUGCCGGUAGGCACAUGAGCGACAAGCAACAAAGAAGCUUGCCAAAAUUAGUUCGCCCGAACGGGAAGCUAAAUAAUGGCCGAUUUCUUCGUUGCUCCUCCGAAACGUAGCUAAAGCUACAAUUUCGUCGUCGCGUCUCGAACUCGUCUCAUUAUUUAGCUUCUACAUUUGGCGAGAUUUGUGAAAUACAGGGCUUGGUUAGCUGAAGCCGCUGGAAAGCGGCGCUACAGAGGGUGAUAGCCCCGUAAGCGAAAACCGGCAAUCUUUCUUUUUCUACCAAAUUAAAUUUUGGAGGACCGUACACAGGAAAUAAUGUUUUCUGUGUAUGGUUCUAUCUUGAGUAUUUCGAGGCUAUUAAACCUUGAAUGAAGCAACGAGUACUAUACUCGUGAGGCUAAAUACAUUUAGUGACCGAUAGUGAACUAGUACCGUGAGGGAAAGGUGAAAAGCAGCCCGAUAAGGGCGGUGAAAUAGUACCUGAAACCGUAUGCCUACAAGGACUCGAAGCCUAAAACAUUCCGCAGCAAUGCGGAGUGAAUGGGUAACGGGGUGCCUAUUGAAGAAUGAGCCAACGACUUUACAUAAGCGGCUUGGUUAAUCCGUUAACGGAGUAGCCAUAGGGAAACCGAGUGUUAAUAGCGCGUGCCCGCAAGGGCCGGUCGUUUAUGUAAGACCCGAAUCCAAGCGAGCUUGUCCUGAUCAGGUUGAACUCUGGGUAAAACCAGAGGGAGGACCGAACUGGUGGGUUGUGCAAAACCCUCGGAUGAAUUGGGAUAAGAAGUGAAAAGCUAAUCGAGCUUGGUAAUAGCUGGUUCUCUCCGAAACAGUUUUCGGACUGGCGGCUGCAUAUUUAUUUUUAGGGGUAGAGCUACUGGUUCGGGGGUACAGGACGAAAGUCCGACUUCCGAGUCAAACUCCGAAUACUAAAAAUAACGCAGCUAGUUAGACUACGGGGGCAAAGCUCCGUGGUCGCAAGGGAAAAAGCCCAGAUCGUCAGCUAAGGUCCCUAAAUUCUUACUAAGUGUAAAAGGUAGUAGUAAACCAUUGACAGAUAGGAGGUUGGCUUAGAGGCAGCCAUCCUUUAAAGAGUGCGUAACAGCUCACUAUUCAAGGAGCGAAAGCUCUUGGUUUGCUGCGCCAAAAAUGUACCGGGGCUAAGUAAGAUACCGAAGAUACGGAUGUCCGCCGCAAGGCGGGCGUGGUAGGAGAGCGUUCGUAUUUGCAGUGAAGGAGGACUCGCGAGAGCCUCUGGAGUAAUACGAAGUGCAAAUGUUGGUAUGAGUAACCACAAUGCGCGUGAGAAACGCGCACCCCGAAAAUCCAAGGUUUCCGUGGCAAUGGCAAUCAACCACGGGUUAGGCGAUCCUAAGGCAAUGGCGAAAGCCGCAGCUGAUGGGUAGCCGGUUAAUAUUCCGGCCCGCCUGAUUUAUUCGAUGGAGUGACGAAAGAAAUAAAAUUUAGCGCCUUAAUAGUUUGGCGUCAUUUACGUAAAGCAAAGUUUUGUUGGCAAAUCCGCAAAACUGCCUUUAAUGGCGAUUUGCGCGCGUUGAUGUAAGGUCGCGUUUUUACGCGACUAAUUAAAUUGAAGAGCUUUCCAAGAAAAACUUCUAAGGUUCGUAAAUCAGGCAUCGUACCGUAAACCGACACAGGUGGAUAGGGCGAGUAGCCCAAGGGGAACGAGUGAUUCUUCGUUAAGGAACUCGGCAAACAAGCGGCCGUAAGUUCGCAAUAAGGCCUGCCCUUCGCAAGAAGNNNNNNNNNNNNNNNNNNNNNNNNNNNNNNNNNNNNNNNNNNNNNNNNNNNNNNNNNNNNNNNNAGGAUGUAUAGGGGCUGACGCCUGACCAGUGCCGAAAGGUUAAGAAACGCCGGUGCAUUGUGAUUUAUCAUGGUGUGCUGGAGUUCGAAGCCCCGGUAAACGUCAGCGAUAACUAUAAACAACAUUGUAGUUACAAAACUUGGCUAUAUGCUGGGAUCUCCCACGUAUCCUGUAUUGGCAACGAUACCGGUGGGGACAAUCAGCAGGGAAGUCACGGUUUCGUGAAGGCGCGCAUAGUGUGCGUUGCACGUGUUGUGACCCC